This is a long non-coding RNA of Poecile atricapillus (Black-capped chickadee), 311 nucleotides long. RefSeq lists it as uncharacterized. Lineage: Eukaryota; Metazoa; Chordata; Aves; Passeriformes; Paridae. The record is from RefSeq and is a predicted model, not a curated record. The transcript has 3 exons.
CGGCGGGCUGAGGCACGGAGAAGGCGCACCUGUCCUCCACGGGGAAGUCGGUGACGAGCACUCCGCUGGGGCUCUGGAAUAAAGGACCUGGUAAUGCCCAUGGAGCAUCAAAGUUGAAACAAGAUGCUGUUUUACUGGGAUGAAAAGAAAAAGAGUAAGAAAGAAUGUGUACCCAAGAAAAGCAACUGAGGACUGAGGUGAUUUCCCAGCAGUUUCCUGAUCCAGUCUCUUCCUUUACUCAGAGGUGGGUGCAGAGAUUGUCUCCUCAGUGAGAGAAGGAGGGUACCUGGCACCUCCAUCAUUUAUAGAGU